AUUGAACGCUGGCGGCAUGCCUUACACAUGCAAGUCGAACGGUAACAGGUCUUCGGAUGCUGACGAGUGGCGAACGGGUGAGUAAUACAUCGGAACGUGCCCGAGAGUGGGGGAUAACGAAGCGAAAGCUUUGCUAAUACCGCAUACGAUCUCAGGAUGAAAGCAGGGGACCGCAAGGCCUUGCGCUCACGGAGCGGCCGAUGGCAGAUUAGGUAGUUGGUGGGAUAAAAGCUUACCAAGCCGACGAUCUGUAGCUGGUCUGAGAGGACGACCAGCCACACUGGGACUGAGACACGGCCCAGACUCCUACGGGAGGCAGCAGUGGGGAAUUUUGGACAAUGGGCGCAAGCCUGAUCCAGCCAUGCCGCGUGCAGGAUGAAGGCCUUCGGUGUAACUGCUUUGUACGGUAACG
RNAcentral lists this ribosomal RNA (412 nucleotides) under uncultured bacterium. Its description in RNAcentral is "bacterial SSU rRNA". It matches the Rfam family "Bacterial small subunit ribosomal RNA", at positions 30 to 447 of the family's 1533-position model. The record is from RNAcentral.